This 914-nucleotide ribosomal RNA is filed under the name uncultured marine archaeon. RNAcentral's name for it is "bacterial SSU rRNA". It matches the Rfam family "Archaeal small subunit ribosomal RNA", at positions 1 to 922 of the family's 1478-position model. The record is from RNAcentral.
UUCCGGUUGAUCCUGCCGGACCUGACUGCUAUCGGAUUGAUACUAAGCCAUGCGAGUCUUUGUAGUAAUACAAGGCAGACGGCUCAGUAACACGUAGUCAACCUACCCUAUGGACAAGAAUAAUCUCGGGAAACUGGGCAUAAUUCUUGAUAGAUCAUAAUGCCUGGAAUGGUUUAUGGUUAAAAUGAUUCGUCGCCAUAGGAUGGGACUGCGGCCUAUCAGCUUGUUGGUGAGGUAAUGGCCCACCAAGGCGAUUACAGGUACGGGCUCUGAGAGGAGAAGCCCGGAGAUGGGUACUGAGACAAGGACCCAGGCCCUAUGGGGCGCAGCAGGCGAGAAAACUUUGCAAUGUGCGAAAGCACGACAAGGUUAAUCCGAGUGAUUUCUGCUAAAGGAAUCUUUUGUUAGUUCUAAAAAUACUAGUGAAUAAGGGGUGGGCAAGUUCUGGUGUCAGCCGCCGCGGUAAAACCAGCACCUCAAGUGGUCAGGAGGAUUAUUGGGCCUAAAGCAUCCGUAGCCUGUUCUAUAAGUUUGCGGUUAAAUCUAUACGCUCAACGUAUAGGCUGCCGUAAAUACUGUAGAACUAGGGAGUGGGAGAGGUAGACGGUACUCGAUAGGAAGGGGUAAAAUCCUUUGAUCUAUUGAUGACCACCUGUGGCGAAGGCGGUCUACCAGAACACGUUCGACGGUGAGGGAUGAAAGCUGGGGGAGCAAACCGGAUUAGAUACCCGGGUAGUCCCAGCUGUAAACGAUGCAGACUCGAUGAUGCAUUGGCAUAUAGCCAGUGCAGUGUCGCAGGGAAGCCGUUAAGUCUGCCGCCUGGGAAGUACGUACGCAAGUAUGAAACUUAAAGGAAUUGGCGGGGGAGCACCACAAGGGGUGAAGCCUGCGGUUCAAUUGGAGUCAACGCCGGG